RNAcentral lists this unclassified non-coding RNA (351 nucleotides) under soil metagenome. RNAcentral describes it as "partial contains 5.8S ribosomal RNA, internal transcribed spacer 2, and large subunit ribosomal RNA". The stretch from base 1 to 119 matches the Rfam family "5.8S ribosomal RNA", at positions 35 to 154 of the family's 154-position model. The record is from RNAcentral.
GAUGAAGAACGUAGCGAAAUGCGAUAAGUAAUGCGAAUUGCAGAAUCCGUGAGUCAUCGAAUCUUUGAACGCACAUUGCGCCCGCCAGUAUUCUGGCGGGCAUGCCUGUUCGAGCGUCAUUACAACCCUCAGGCCCCCGGGCCUGGCGUUGGGGAUCGGCGGAGCCCCCCGUGGGCACACGCCGUCCCCCAAAUACAGUGGCGGUCCCGCCGCAGCUUCCAUCGCGUAGUAGCUAACACCUCGCAACUGGAGAGCGGCGCGGCCACGCCGUAAAACACCCAACUCUUCUGAAGUUGACCUCGAAUCAGGUAGGAAUACCCGCUGAACUUAAGCAUAUCAAUAAGCGGAGGA